This 253-nucleotide ribosomal RNA is filed under the name uncultured bacterium. Its description in RNAcentral is "partial 16S ribosomal RNA". It matches the Rfam family "Bacterial small subunit ribosomal RNA", at positions 524 to 776 of the family's 1533-position model. The record is from RNAcentral.
UACGUAGGGUGCAAGCGUUGUCCGGAAUUAUUGGGCGUAAAGAGCUCGUAGGCGGUCUGUCGCGUCUGCUGUGAAAACUCAGGGCUUAACCCUGAGCUUGCAGUGGGUACGGGCAGACUAGAGUGCGGUAGGGGAGACUGGAAUUCCUGGUGUAGCGGUGAAAUGCGCAGAUAUUAGGAGGAACACCGGUGGCGAAGGCGGGUCUCUGGGCCGUAACUGACGCUGAGGAGCGAAAGCAUGGGGAGCGAACAGG